Pelodiscus sinensis (Chinese soft-shelled turtle) is the source of this 2257-nucleotide long non-coding RNA. RefSeq lists it as uncharacterized. Lineage: Eukaryota; Metazoa; Chordata; Testudines; Trionychidae. The record is from RefSeq and is a predicted model, not a curated record.
UCCUACAGCCACAACCCCAUCCUUCCCUGGCGGCCGGAGCGUGUGGGCAAUUGUGGGAAGGCCGUGCCUUCCCUUGCCUGCAUCACCUGCCGAGCAUGGUGCUGAACACGGGGUGAUUGCGGAACGCUGUGUUUAGGGGUGGCUGCUCAUCUGUCUCUUCAUGGGGGCCCUUAUCCCCAUUGCUCCAAACUCUGGUGGCACCUCUCCUCCUAUGGGAAGCCCCCAGAGCGCCCCUCACCAGGCCUGGGGCCGAUGCCCGCCCCCCAGCUCCAAGGGGGCUUGGUCUGUCUCCUUGCCCUUUCCCCGGGAUGGCUCUUGUAUUAAAACUCCCCCAGUACUCCACGAUGCUUCCCAUCUACAAGCAGCCGGCCAAUAGCUGCCCAGUGCCUGGCCUUGCUCGAUAGGGACGCACGCCCGUAUGCAGCGAUCCCCUGGGAACCCAGUGCCCCGGGGCCCUCUUUCAGAGGGGGUUUCAAACUCCGGGUGAACCCUGAUCAGAAGCCACUGGAUAAUCUCAGAAGGGGGCCGUGUAGUCUGCAUCAAGCACUCGCUGUUAGCGGCAGCCUCCUGCUUCCCGACAAUUAGUCCUCAACCUAUUAAGUGAGCCAAUUCAAGCAUGGGAGAAACUCGCAGCAGCGCCUAAUAACUCCGGCGCUCCUGCCAGGAUGAGGUGCAAUUAGGAGCACGCAGCCGUGGAGACACAAGCAAGUCUUUGUGCAUCGCCCGGCCGCCGCAGCACCCCUGGGGCGAGGCAAGAGCCUGCGAUGAAAGGCAGGCCCAGAGCGGAGAUGUCGAAACGGAGAAGGUGGAGAGCUAGAGGAAGGAAAGAAGAAAGGGCGAAGAUUCCUGGGAAAUGAAUCCAAAGCCGGGGUCAGAAAGAGACCAGGCGGGUCUGGACAGGGGAACAGAAUCACCCUGAGAGCACAUCAGGCAAGUUUGCCACUUUGGCUCUGCGGAAAUGUUUCCCGGGAGGCCAGACGUCGGCUUGGUGGAAAAUCAUGCACAGCCCAUGCUGCCUGCAUGUGGAAACGGCUGUCUGCCUGGCUCCUCAUUCCCCCACAUCUGGCUUACUACAGCGCCCGGUUCAUCAAAUGUAUGGAUAAACAGUCUCUUCCACGCAGCAGCCUGGGGCCGGAGCCACUUCCUCGACAACUGCUCUCGGGGGCUGCCAGGAAAGGGGAACGGAAGCUGCUGAGACGAGCGACACCAAAUGCAAGGAAGGGGCAGUGAGCUCCGCUUUGUUUCACUGCGCUCGGCUGCCAGCGCUGAUUGAUGUGGAUCCCAACCACGGGCUUCCCCUGCCUCCGCGCCAGCUGCCCGGGGAAUGUGCUGCAAUAUCCCCCUCUGAAGUGCCCCCUCCUGGCUUGGAAUUCACACAAGAACUUUGCUCCAGUCUUGCUUUGAUCCAGCUUCGCGCCACGGAGCCAGGCCCUUCUCUAGGGACGCUCGCCUUUCUUCCUCCCCUCCCUAGGGGCUUGGAUCCCUGGAUUUGUAUUGCUGCCGAUAGCACCUCCCAGCAGCCCCGAUCCAUUGUGCAGCACAAGGGCAGCUAUCAUAUGACACACGUGGGUGGUGCUAUGCAAAUAAGAUGACAGGGUGGUCUGGCUGAUAGGACACUUGUCUGGGAGUCAGGAGACUGGAGGUUUAUUUCCAGCUCCGCCUCUGGCCGUCAGCAAAUCGUUUUCCUGCUCCGUGCCUCAGUUUCCCCUACCGUACUUUCUCUAUCUAGAGUGUAAACUCUUUAGGGCACGCGCUGUCUUUGUGCGUUUACAGCCCCCGGGGCUCUGAUCCUGGCUAAGGGGGUCCCAGCGUAGCAGGAGUUCACAACACACCCUGCAGUAACAUUGCAACGGUCUCGUUUGAGCCUCGGAGCCUGGCAGUGAGAGCUGGAUCCUUCCGAAGUCCUGGGCUGACUGCUGCUGAGCGCAACGACAGUGUGGCUAAUAAAGGACUAGCUCUCGGCAAGCCAGCCUCCCAGGGGACCGUCGGAGACCGCCGAACAUAGAUUCAAGGUCCAGAUUCCAGAGGAAGAAAAUUACCCCCCCUCCCAACUAUAAGAAGAACAUUUUUUGUAAAGCAUCUGACCAUUUCAAUUUACUCCCCCUCCCCCAGUUCGCCUACGGAUCCCCCUUGGCCCAGAGCCUAUGGGAGUAAGGGGCGUGCCUGGGCUGUCCCCUGCCACAGUCAUUUGAUGUGCCAGCAGAGCCCCAAUAAGCCACCGCCCACCCUUUCGCUGCCUGACUGCCAGGCCAGGUGA